CACCCGUGUCUUUUGCGCACUUGUUGUUUCCUGGGCGGGCUCGCCCGCCACCAGGACCAAACCAUAAACCUUUUUCUUUUGCAGUUUUCAUCAGCGUCAGUAAAAAACAAUGUAAUUAUUACAACUUUCAACAACGGAUCUCUUGGUUCUGGCAUCGAUGAAGAACGCAGCGAAAUGCGAUACGUAGUGUGAAUUGCAGAAUUCAGUGAAUCAUCGAAUCUUUGAACGCACAUUGCGCCCUUUGGUAUUCCAAAGGGCAUGCCUGUUCGAGCGUCAUUUGUACCUUCAAGCUUUGCUUGGUGUUGGGCGUUUUUUGUCUCUCCUUGCGGGAGACUCGCCUUAAAACGAUUGGCAGCCGGCCUACUGGUUUCGGAGCGCAGCACAUUUUUUGCGCUUUGUAUCAGGAGAAAAGGACGGUACUCCAUCAAGACGUUUACAUUUUUAACUUUUGACCUCGGAUCAGGUAGGGAUACCCGCUGAACUUAAGCAUAUCAAUAGGCCCGGAGGAA
RNAcentral lists this ribosomal RNA (509 nucleotides) under Bipolaris peregianensis. Its description in RNAcentral is "eukaryotic LSU rRNA". The stretch from base 123 to 276 matches the Rfam family "5.8S ribosomal RNA". Lineage: Eukaryota; Fungi; Ascomycota; Dothideomycetes; Pleosporales; Pleosporaceae. The record is from RNAcentral.